This is an RNA transcript of Pseudoliparis swirei, 1885 nucleotides long. It is a transcript of the gene named serine/threonine-protein phosphatase 2A catalytic subunit beta isoform, with no coding region annotated. The transcript has 10 exons. NCBI's taxonomy places the organism in Eukaryota, Metazoa, Chordata, Actinopteri, Perciformes, Liparidae. The record is from RefSeq and is a predicted model, not a curated record.
GCCGCCUCUCUCAGCUCCGGUCCGUCGACCCUCCGACUCUCCCCGGAAAGAGAUACUCUGGGUUCGCCGUUGGCGACUCGAUGUCGGCACUUCAUCAUGAUAGAAGUUGACUAAGCGGCUCGUUGAUUUAUUUUCAGAGGGCUUAUCGUUGAUACUUUUGGCGGGGACCAGACCAACACAAACGGAGCUAAAAGAAGGCAGCUCGUUCCGAGAACAGGCCGCCGCCGUCAUGGAGGACAAAUCCUUCACUAAAGAGUUGGACCAGUGGAUCGAACAGCUCAACGAGUGCAAGCAGCUCUCGGAAAACCAGGUCCGGACCCUCUGCGAGAAGGCCAAGGAGCUCCUGACUAAGGAGUCCAACGUCCAGGAGGUGCGAUGCCCGGUAACGGUGUGCGGCGACGUCCACGGUCAGUUCCACGACCUCAUGGAGCUAUUCAAGAUCGGGGGGAAGUCGCCCGACACCAACUACCUGUUCAUGGGCGACUACGUGGACCGAGGCUACUACUCCGUGGAGACGGUCUCGCUGCUCGUCACGCUAAAGGUCCGUUUCCAGGAGCGAGUCACUAUCCUGCGAGGGAACCACGAGUCGCGGCAGAUCACGCAGGUCUACGGCUUCUACGACGAGUGCCUGAGGAAGUACGGCAACGCCAACGUGUGGAAGUACUUCACUGACCUGUUCGACUACCUGCCCCUCACCGCGCUGGUGGAUGGACAGAUCUUCUGUCUCCAUGGAGGUUUGUCUCCCUCCAUCGACACUCUGGACCAUAUACGAGCUCUGGACCGUCUGCAGGAGGUUCCACAUGAGGGUCCCAUGUGUGACCUGCUGUGGUCCGACCCCGAUGACCGUGGUGGGUGGGGCAUCUCUCCCCGGGGUGCCGGCUACACCUUUGGACAAGACAUCUCUGAAACCUUCAACCACGCCAACGGCCUCACUCUGGUGUCCCGCGCCCAUCAGCUGGUCAUGGAGGGCUACAACUGGGGCCACGAUAAGAACGUAGUGACCAUCUUCAGUGCUCCGAACUACUGCUACCGCUGUGGAAACCAGGCGGCCAUCAUGGAACUGGAUGACACUCUGAAAUACUCUUUCGGUGGAAUCUCACGAGCAGAGCAAGAAGCACAGAGACUAGCGGAGGCCGCCAGCAGCCCGCGGGGCUAGCUGCUGCUCCGCCGCCAGCAACGACGUCAACGCUACAACGCUGGAGGUCACCGGAGGAAAUCCAGCGCCGUGUAACAAAGAGCUCAUCACCGAAGACCAACAGGGCGGCGCGUUCUUCAUUCUGUUCCACGAGACUCUGGACCAGACCACCGCGAGCAGACAGCUGGACUUCAUGUGCGCUAUUGGUGAAAUGACCAGGUCCAGUCAGGAUCCUAUAGAGCUCAUGGGCCAUGUCACCAGGACCUACUUCAGCACCUCAAAUGUUCACUAGGCUCAAGGGAUGGCUGAAGUGGUGGUGUCAUGAAGAGAUGUCAGGCAUGAGAAUCCCUCACCUUUCGGCGAAAUUCGCCGUUUUGAAACCAAAAUAGGAGAAUGGACCAAAUGUCAACUGGAAGUUUUUGUAUUCAUACAGUUUGAAAAGGAUUGUUUUCCUAGUAUAUUCACAAAAGCUCAGGAGGAGACAUAAACCUGUGCACAAACAUCCAUCACAUCGAGACAUGAGAACUCUCACUCACUCACUCACACACACAUACAUUCUAUUAUGUAAAUGAAUUUUCAUUUUAAAAGCAGCUGGAAAUGUUAUUUAUGUUAUUUUAUAGAUUUUUUUGUUCAAAAGGAACUAUGUUGCACGUAUUUUAAAAAUAUAUUUACUUGAUUUUAUAGACAUUUGUUCAUGGGACCUAAAUGUUCUGAAAAUGUUGUAUUAAUAAAUAUAAUUUACACCAGCAA